Oreochromis niloticus (Nile tilapia) is the source of this 874-nucleotide long non-coding RNA. RefSeq lists it as uncharacterized. Lineage: Eukaryota; Metazoa; Chordata; Actinopteri; Cichliformes; Cichlidae. The record is from RefSeq and is a predicted model, not a curated record. The transcript is spliced from 2 exons.
UGUUAAGAGAUUUUGUUUAAUGUUUUAUUAAAUAACAUGCUUUCCCUAAAUAGGUUUGCGAAUGUACAAUGAUGUUCAUAUAUUUUAUACUACAUGUAUCUUGUCACUACACAUGCACGUGAGCCUUGCUGACUUCUAAGAAAAUGACUGGCAUAAGGAGGUUGCCACAGGAAACCUCACCUUUGCUGAGUUUGCUGAGUCUGCCGUUGGGAACAGGAACCAACUGGCUUCUGUUUCCCUUAAGAUAGGCUUGACCAGUUCCUUACUGACAGUUGAACGUAUAUGUUUUAUGCUUUGUAAGGAGUGGUAUGUUAUCUCUUCCUACAUGUGUCUGUGACGCAAACAUGCUUGAGUAUAAAUAAAGCUGACUGCAAAGCCUCGGUGUGAGUAUCGCCCGAUCACUCACCCGUGCGCACGUAGUUCUCUGAACAAAACUCUGACUGUUUUGUAUUCCUUCAAUGUGUUUUAUAAUGUCUUACCACUGACAUUUAAUUGGUCCUUCGAGCCGGAUUUAUUGAUUGAUAUUAUUAUAUCAUCUAACUAUUCACAGACGGAGCCGCCGAAUCCUGACGUCGUGACUACCUGCACUGUAAACCACCGCUUCUAGCGAAGCAAGGAAAAGCCCAGAGUCGUAAAUUCGCCUAUUGGCCAGUGUCUUAUACAGGUCCACGACGACAGGACUCGGUGACGCCGGAAAAAAGAACACAGCGCAACAUUGAAGUGUCUUGCAGGUUGAAACCAGGUGAUUGGAUCCUGAUUAAAGUACUCCAAAGAAGGAACUGGAGCUCACCAAAGUGGGAGAGUCCUUAUCAAGUCCUAAUCACCACACCAACUGCCUGUAAAAUAGCAGAAAGACCAUCCUGGAUUCAUCAAA